Long non-coding RNA from Homo sapiens (human), 599 nucleotides. Ensembl annotates it as SYNJ2 intronic transcript 1. Its record names the gene SYNJ2-IT1. Lineage: Eukaryota; Metazoa; Chordata; Mammalia; Primates; Hominidae. The record is from Ensembl.
CCAGCUCUUAGUGACUCUAGCCCUCUCCCGCCCUCCUCUGCACCCUGCAUGCACUUGUGUUGCUGAAUGUGGCCGGAGAAAAACACAGCCAUCUUGACUGUUCUGUGAGACUUCAUAGAUUUCCAGGGCUGUGUGGAAUCAAAAAAUCUUCCUGCAUUUCCCCAGCCAUCUGGCCUCCAGGAUGACUAUUUCACAUCUCCUCAAGCCUUUCACAUCUCAUCCCCCUCACACCUGAUGAUUUUGCUUCCUAUUUCACUGGGAAAAUGAAGUAGGGACGGGGUUUCAUCAUGUUGGCCAGGCUGGUCUCGAUCUUCUGACCUCGUGAGCCGCCCACCUCGGCCUCCCAAAGUGCUGGGAUUACAGGCAUGAGCCACCGCGCCCAGCCAAAGAGCCUAGAACCAUGCCUGGCACACAGUGGGCAUCUAGACCCUUUGCUGAGUGGUGAAAUUGAAGUGUGACAGGGUGCGUGGCUUCCCUGCUCAGGCUCCCUCAGUUCCCAAAGCUGUGCUCCUUCCUGGAUCUCAUGUAGCACAAGGAGGCAUACGUGGGUCGCACCACAUGGCUUCUAGAGGAGUAUGUGUGAAUGUGUUCAUGUUCAU